CAGCAGCCGCGGGAAUACGUAGGUGGCAAGCGUUGUCCGGAAUUAUUGGGCGUAAAGGGCUCGCAGGCGGUUUCUUAAGUCUGAUGUGAAAGCCCCCGGCUCAACCGGGGAGGGUCAUUGGAAACUGGGAAACUUGAGUGCAGAAGAGGAGAGUGGAAUUCCACGUGUAGCGGUGAAAUGCGUAGAGAUGUGGAGGAACACCAGUGGCGAAGGCGACUCUCUGGUCUGUAACUGACGCUGAGGGGCGAAAGCGUGGGGAGCGAACAGGAUUAGAUACCCCCGUAGUCCCUGUCUCUUAUAC
This 301-nucleotide ribosomal RNA is filed under the name uncultured bacterium. Its description in RNAcentral is "partial 16S ribosomal RNA". It matches the Rfam family "Bacterial small subunit ribosomal RNA", at positions 509 to 807 of the family's 1533-position model. The record is from RNAcentral.